GGGAGGGGGGGCGCUGCCCCGCGCCUUUGUUCAGCGGGGAGAGGACCUGCGGCGGAGCUGAGCCGACCGCGCAGAUGGGCACGCACCCGGUAGCGCGGCUCCGCGCCCACGGGACGAGGAGGAGGAGGGAGGCAGAAGGUCCCCAUGCAGCCUCCCUCGGUCUCUUUUCUCCUUCCAAGGUCAAAACGUGGCUGUCUGGAGAACAGGAUGCUCACCAAAACAUCAGUCUUUGCUGGGUGCCAUACUUGUUAUCCUUCCAUUGGUGGAAUACAACUUGGGUGUCCUCAGGAGGUGGCUGACAUGGAUCAAACUGUACCACACAGUGAUGGUGUGAAGACCUGAUGUCUUCACUGCUCAGAAACAUGUGUAAAUUAAUAGGCUACUGGGAGAAGAUGAAGAAGCUUUUGCAGAAACAUGAGGAUAUUGUGGGAAAUACUGCUGUUAACCAUUUGGAUUAUAUUGCUGUCUGACACAGAGGUUCUGCAGAUAACGUAAGGAACUGUCCAGAUCUUUUCUUGUUACAUGAUUGCUGAAGCAUUUUCCUGGCACAGCAGUAAUGAUUGAUGAACACACUCCAGAUGCUUCUCAAACUUAAGUGAUUGAAAAGCUUUCCAGAUCUGAUAACUGAAAAGAUUUCAAGUGAAACUUCUGGCUCCUAUCCUGGUCUGAAAGCUCUUGAGUGAGUAAUGUAUUAGAAUGGUCUCCACUUCUCCAAGGGGAGCACAAGCUUGAAGUGGGGCAUGCUGUAAGUCACCUGACUUAAGGCAUCAGAGUGAAACUGGCAGAUUCAAAGCUUAACUGCUGCAUUAACUUUUGUCUUCUACUUUGAAGUCAGCUCAUUUUAAAUAGGAAAACAUGGUGCCUGCUUUGUCACCUGGGGUAUGAUCUAUGUCUGAUACUGAAGCUGUUUUGACUGGUGUGAGAAAUGCACGAAGCUGCACUGUUCAGAAGAAGCAAGAUUCCUUCCUCACAGCUACGGCGCUGCGACACAGCCUGCUUUUUCGCAUUUACCUGGGUGGCUGCUGCUGGUUCUGCUGCUGCCGCUGCAGCCUCGCUGCCUGCGCUUCACCCCAGCUUGGCUGAUGCGAGUCUCCCUCAUCUGUACAUCGCUAAGGAAGAGAAGCGAUGGAGCCGCAAUUUUUCUGUUGGUUCUGGAAGCAAAGGGUUGUGAUGUGGGGUGGCUUGGGGGGGUUUUCUUUUUUUAUGUUUUUUUGGUGGGGAAAGAAAGGAGGGAUAUUAAUAUAGGGUGGAGUGGGUAAAAGCUUAAAGAAAUAUGAUGAAAAGUAAUCCAGUCCUCAACAAGGGCAUCAGCAGCAAGAAUCCAGCCACUGCUGCUCCAAAGGAGGAUGGGGAAAGCCACAGAGCUGCAGUCGAGUUGCACCUCAGCGUUGUGCUGGAGAUGGAUAAACAAGGUAUUGGUUGUAUCUGCCUGCUAAGGCAAAGCCAUGGGAGGAAGAGAGAGCGAGAGAGUGUGUGCAAAUGCAGUGGAAGAAGAAACGCUGCAUGCUGUUUGUCUGAUUCUGUGCAUUCUCACUGUGGAGAGGAUGGCGUGAUUAAGAAAGAAAUGUAUGGAUGGAGGCACUGUGAAUUGUAGCUCCAGCACUCCUGAUGCUGUCAGGGAGGGAACUGAUGAGCUAGGUGGCUGCAGCAGUAUCCCCAGGGAAAACAGCGGCCAUGCUGUGUAUGUAUGUGCUUAUGUAUGUGUGCUUAUGUGUGUGGGAGCAUGUACAGGCAUGAAAGAAAGGCAUUUCUGACCAAUUUACUGAGGAAGCUUGUCACUUUGAUGGUCAGACUUGAUUGCAGCUUGUAUUUUCAGCUCUAGUUCUACACCCAAUUCCUGAGUGAGGCGGCACUUUGUGAAUGCAGAUGUAGGCAGAAUUCUUCUAAGAAAUGUGAAAGCAGAUUCUGUUUAACACCUUGGAGCACUGAAUCUAUUGCACUGUGUUGAGAGAAGCUAAGGAGGGAGGGGUCAUUUUCUCCAUCUUAAAAUCUUUAUAAACACGGCUAUAUUCAGUAUGGCAAAAAAAAAUUCUAUGCAAAAAAAAAUUCUAUGCUGUAAAUAGAAAUGUGAUCAAUCUAAUCAAAACAAAUGCAUCCCAGAUGACUUCUAGACCAGCUGGCUACCACAGUCAUCGGAUGGCUAAAUGCUCAACUGAGCAUUUAUAGUCAGCAUUAUAUCUCUUUUUUUUUCUUUUUUCUUUCUUUUUUUUUUUUUUUUUUUUUGAUUAAGAAUUUUAUAAUCAGCUUCUGAUUAAAAAUGAUUAUUCCUCUAUUGAAAAGAGACAGCAGUUAGCAACAGAUUUUUCUGAAAUGCACCUAUUUUUUUUUGUUUGUUUUUUUGUUAUUGUCAUUUGAUUGGCUUGGGCUCUUUUUGUUUAUCUGUUUGGUUUAUAUUUCUGCGCAUGCAUUGAGGAGACUGUGCUUUUAGAACAGGGACACUUGUCACAGUGCUUGGCAUACUGAGUUCAGCUGGUAGCUCGGGUUGCCCAUGUCUGAACAAUGCAAAAAUAGGGAAAACAAGUACUGCAGUCAGCUAGUAGGACUUGGCGUGGCUUUUAGCAGCUGCCUACUGAGAAAGAGGUUUCUUUUUUCCUUUUAUUUUUUUCCCUUUUAUACAAAUCCGUAGACCAUAAUGUCAUCCUAAAAUGCGUACGAGGGGAUUUCCCAAUAGUCAUGGUGAGCUACCCUGCAAGAUGCCUGUCUGGCCCUUCCACUGUUUGUUACCCUGUCUACAAAGGCUGCCCUGUGUGUUGGAUUAUAUUUAGCCAGCUGCUGGGUAACAUUCUUGUGCUGGGGGCAAAGGAGUCUUAUUACUCCCAUACUGUAGUUUUGUGCUUUCUUAAAGAAAAACAACCUUGGCAAGACAGCAGGCUCUGAAAAGAAGUGUAUACUGCUCCUGCACCUUUCUGAAACUGCCGUGCUUCUAACUCAGACUGUUUUAAAGCAAGCGAGCAGGAGGAAGAGUGGCUUUUAGCUCAUAGCUUCAAAGCUGCAAAAUGUCAGCACCUUGUAAUUAGGAACCCGUGGUUACGUCAGGGACUGUAUCUCUCCAAGAAUAGCUGUGUGAUAUGUGCCACAAAGCAAAGGAAGGCAGUCAUAACCUGGUUCUCGAGCCUGCUUUGAACAAGAGAGUGAAAUGGAUUAAUGAAUCGGCUGCAUUUGUAAAUCAGAGCUGGAUGGAUUACAUGUAUAAGACUGGCUGCACUCUGCAAAAGUGAAGACUGAAUUAUCGGUUUGUCAGAGGGCACAUGUUCGCUGAGUGGAAGUGUGAAUCCUUCGGAAGAAAUGCAGACAAGCCAUCUGUCCUAGAAAAUGUCAUUCCUGUCUCCAUCUUGCAAAGGAGGCUGUGUGCCACGAGGCAUGGGAAGGAGUGACCGGCCAGCCGCACCAAGGUGUUUAAAAGCACGCGUCAAAUUAAGCACAAAGCCAGCACACCAAAACUCGGCUCUGGCUUUGCAGAUUUGAUGUUGAAAUACCACCCCAGUGCAGACCUACUGCGAUCAGGUGUGGUUUUUAUUAAGGCUUCUCUGGCUGAGGAAUGGUGCAAAAAAAGCCUUAGCACAACAUCUUGCAGCCAAACGUGGUCCUGGGGGUGCACAGGGAAUGCUGCAGUGCGGGGCUGCCUAUUCCGCAGGGAUAUGCCUGGAGCUUUCUGACCCCUGCUGUUGUUUUUCGGUCUGGGCUGGCGGCUCCACAGCACUUAAGCGCUGAGAUUGCAGGGGUGCUUACCCUGCUUUGACCAGCCUUUCCCUGUGCUGUGACUGGAGAUGUUUACAUGGCUUUUAUCGACAGCCCUUCACCAGUCAGUGUGCAUUGCUGCCUGUUUCUGGCAGCCUGGCAUGGUUCCCUGGUCCCAGCACAAGUCAGCUGCAGUCCUGCUCUUUGUGCUGUUCUUUAGAUUACCAGGAUAGGUAGAUUGUAUUAUGGAAACACUGGUUGUGGGUUCUGUUUGUUGGGUUUUUUUUGUUUUUCUUUUUUUUUUUUUUUUACCCUGACCGUGAACACAAAUUUGUAGGAGGAGAUGACUCUGUAUAUUAAACCAAUAGCUCUUUGAAUUGUGUGUAGUAUAAUUUAAAUAUACUUACUUUAAUUAGUAGGAGCUUACAAAAGCCGGCAUUGUCUGGGGCUGUUUAAUUUACAUCGUGGCCUCUGUCAAUGAGCACAACUUGCCUGAACAGAUUGCCAUAUUCUGCGCAGCCGGCAGGGUGGAAGGCGUUACUUUGUUUGUGUUCCUUCCAACAGCUGGUCAUUAAUGCAGGCCCCAUCUCCAGAGUGAAGUGCUGGUGGACAUGAAUGGCCGCCUGAUUAAUGCUGCCCCUCGACGGCUCCUUCCUCCUGCAGUGAUGCUCGCAGCAGAAUAAUGCAGCGUGAUUUGAUUGCGCUCUAACAGGGCAGUAUGUCAUUGUGUCACCAAGCAAUUGAGGUUAUUAUGGGGCAGGGCAGACAGACGGGACAGUGGGGUUACUAGACCGUGGCAUUUUUAGAAAUGCAGGCCUGACCUACUUAGAGUUAUUCUUGCUGGCUGGCAGCUGCAUGGUGCAUGGCUUGUCCUGAUAGGCUGAGGCUGUUGCUAGGGGGAAUUAGCAUGAAUUUUUCCACAUACAGACUCUGUGAUUGAAUGAUAAAAGCUGACUGGAAUUAAAGAGAUUCGGUUCAGUAUUAUGCAGAUUUAUCUCCCUUGUUUUUUCCUCUCUCAAAUACAUAAAAAGGAGAAGACGACUGUUUCCAUUCAUUUUUGACCUAUAUAUAUAUAUAUAUUUUUUUUUUUAAUUUUAUUUUAUUUUUUCCAGAGGAGGGCAGAAGCACUGUGAAUUUUUGAUCAUUUACUAUUUAAGUCGUUGAAAUGAUAUGACAGUGGCCAUGCAUCUUUAAUGUAUAGGAGAUUCAAAUUCCUUCUCUGCAGAAGGCAAUGAAAUGAAUAUAGUUUAUACUCUGGUCAGACCAUCUUUUUUUUUUUUUUUUUUUUUUUUUUUUCUCUGUUUGAAGCUAUGUCAGAUUCUUUCAUCUGGAAAGGGGAAACGUACACCAGGUUUUAUUGCAUAACAUCACUUGGCUAUUUUUAGCUAUCUGCACUUCACAAAAUUAGUCUUGUGUUUGUGCUGCUGGAUGAAAUGAAUCCCCAGACUGUGCCUCCUGUAUGCAGAGACAUGCACCCAGGAUGUGCUGUAGUGUGCCGUGUUCAUCUGAAAAGAUGAGCACACACACUGCAGACAUAGCAGCUCUGCCUGCUGGCAGAGAGCUGACGACUGGCCUUUAAGCUGAUUGAUUAGAUAACCUUUUGCGCAUUUUGAAGCAUUUUUCUGCCUUUGGUUUGAAGUUGGAUUCUCUUGAUAGCCCUUUUUUAUUUAUCUACAUCUGCUUAAAUCAGUCGUUUUUUUUUUUCAGAGAAUUCUGUGUUCCCUCUGGAAGCAAAUAAAAACAAUACUCAGUGAAGACUUCUUUGAUGUAAUUAUGAAUAUUUCCUUUGUUAUUAUCGCUAAUUAUAAGAUAUCUUCAUCCAAACUGCAGUAUCCCCUGUGUGAUCCUUUACCAUGCAAAGGAGUUACAAUUUAGCACUUAUGAUUUUAAAACAGUUUUCAUGGCAACAUCUCCUGACAUCACACUCAAAAGAAUUGUGACUUUCCAGUAGCUGGGAAUGGGGGAGAGGGACUCUGAAGUCUUUGUAUUUGCCAAAUGAGUGUGUGACUCAUUGCUGAAAAGUGUGAGCUCAUUCAAGUUUCAUAUGAAAUACCUGGAUGAAUGAGACACUUCUCAGAGCAUUGUCUGUCUAGAUGGCCAGAAUUACCCCUGGAGUUUCCUGGCCCCCUGCCUCAGCCCAUGAAGUUUCUCUGGAGGGUUUCAUGGUGAAGCAGUUAAACAUGGAGACAUAUGUCUGAAUGCAUUUUGUACAGAUUUGAAUUUCUUGUGUCUCUUUUCCUGUUCAUCAUUUACUGCUGAAGCACAUAGCUUCACUGUCUCUUUCUUCCUGACAGCCUUGUGGAUUGACAGACUUGUAGAGGCAUGAAAGUGAAGACAGGCAUUAUUGGAAACCCACAGGUUGCUCCUCCUGGCUGUGUUCUUACCAUCUGUCCAGAUGUAACUCCAGAAAGUGUAACUGUGAUGCAGGUCCUGCUUCCCACAGCAGGAAUCACUCCUGCUAGUGUUCUCUUGAUCAAAGCCCUAUUUCUUGAUCUGCUUUCUUGUGGGAUGCAGUUGGUGGCUUUGGCUUUGCACCUGGGCUACCAUUUUCACUUUGGCGUGUCUUCCAAACAUCCCUUGAUGCUUUGUUUUCUGCUGUUUCCCCUCAUGCUCCCACUUGCAUUCACAGAAUCACAGAAUUGUAGGGGUUGGAAGGUAUCUCUAGAGAUCAUUGAGUCCAACCCCCCUGCCAAAGCAACUUCCCUACACUAGGUCGAAUUAAACAUGGUUUAUUCCAUGUGAUAAACCUCUUCUAGUGAUGAGAGAGGAUCAGGUCAUGGAGAGGUUUGCUUUUGGAAGGGUAAGCAAUGGCCAGGCUUUGUGUGCAAUUGUCUGUUUAAGUUUUCUCCCUCACUGGAUGUAGCCAGUCUUAGUUUCACCCAGUUGACUUGCAACAUCAGCUAACUUGUACUUCAGCAAAUCAAAACUACCGUACAAUAUUACAUUCAUUUCAGCGGAAACCUCUUUUUUAGAAAAAUGAACUGAGUGACAUCUUAUUUUGGGAUAUUCAUGCUUAGAAAGAGCCCAAAGGAAGGCAAGAAACAAUAUUAAGCAUGCACUCUAUGGAAAAGAAUUAUAUCCCUGAUAUUUGUUUGGGAUUUCAGCACAGUGAACAUUUAUAAUAGGCAUCGAGUCAGUCAGUUUUAACAAACUGUCAAGUGACAUAUUAAAUAUGAAAAAUGAAGUGCACCAGAAAUUGUACUCAAUAUUAGGUUGCUAUUCUGCAAGUCUCCUUAAUGGAAAUUAUUCCAAAUAAAUUAAUGUGUGAAUUGUCUGAUCAUAACGCCUGGGAUAAUUAUAAGUAGCAGAAAUAUGGAGUUAAUGAAACAGAAACAAAAUCUAGCUCUUUCUAUGUAUGUGUUUAUAAAGCAUAAGAAUCAGGGCACCAGAGGAGUUUGUAAUAUAUGUCUGUUGAAAAUGCAGUCGAUUGUGUACAUUCCUUUGAAAAACAUGUUAAGAAUUUUCUGAUUGUCUCCUCUGAGGUUUCUAUUGUUGUAACAACUCACACCUCCCACUCAGAAGUUGCUUACCUACAAAAGAUUGUUUUGCACUGUUCAGCAUUCUUGUACCAUGACCUCUCCUGUAAGCUGUGAAAGGUCUAUUGUGCUGCGUUUCAUGCUCUGGGGUGGCUAAGCAAGGGCUGAUUUACGAUUAGCAUAUGCAAACAAUUUUUUCUUCCAGUCAGGGAUGCAAAAUCUUGCCACUAUUUGAGUUGGCUGUGGUGGUCGGUGUAUUCCUCACCCAGGAGUCUUGGCUGAUUGUGCACAUUGUGCAUUUUGUGAUGUCAUUGCAGCUUUCUGGUUUUAUGGAAAGGAGCAGAGGAUGCAGGAUAUAGAGUGGCACCUCUAGUUUCCCAUGAAGGGAUAAUGGCAGCAAAGAGUGUGCUCACUCCCAGCCUUCACCUCCUGCCAGGACCACAAAGAUCAGUUUUUCUGCAGCAAAUUUGUUUUGGUUCCAAUUUCAAACCCAAAGUAGGAGGAAGUGUAUUAUAUUUCUUAAAAAGUGGCAUUUGGCACAUUCCUUCUACUGCAAUACAGGAGGGAAUACAAAUGUUUUACAAAUUAAAUUAAUCCUUACAAUAUUUUUUUUCCUGUGAUCCACUGAGAUGGAAACAAAUUCUGUAACAUUACCUUCAGCCAGGAGCAGCGUUAUUGUGUAUAUGAAUGUAAUCCCACAUUCAUAUUUUUUCUGCAUGUGUGUGCCUAUAUACUCGGAAAUAUUGUAUACAUAUUGUGUGUAUGUGUGUAUAAAAGAUACAGACAGUUUACACAAGAGCAGUACUGGAGCACACAUUAUAGUGUAUAAUCACAGUUGCCUCAGACUAAUACCAGAACUGUGCUUCCAGGUGUUUGAUGCUGGCUUAUUUAUGGUGAAUGCAUCUUGUCAUAAAAUUAGUGCCAUUUCAACACAGAGCAUAACUAUCACAUUAUUCUUGUCAUCCCAUUCACCACUAGCAGCAACAAAUGAUGCUGUGUAAUUGAAAGAUAACGAAAAGGGGGCAUUAUGGUGAAAAUUAGUGUAUAAUUAGAUAGAUGGAGUCUAUAACCACUUUUCACUUUUUGUAGUCACAAGUGAUGUAAAAUGAAAUGCUUGAUGGAUGUUUAAGACAGAGAGACAAAUUUUUUUCUUGUUGUUAAUUCUUCCCUCCUGCUGUUAGGUCACACCUGCUUUAAAAGUGAAUCCAGACUUAAAUCUUGACAGAGAUCAUGACCCUACUUCAACCAAUGGUUGUUUUAUCUUGGCAUUCAGUGAGACCAGGUAUCUGGUCUUCAUAUUUUCAGCUGGACAUGUCUUUUUCUCUCUUCUCACUCCAAAGUGUAGUAUUUCUGUUUUUAAGCUUUCUCUUUUCCUCCAAACAUUCUUUGAACACUUAAAUCUUUAAGCAAUGUACCAUAAAUUUGCCCUUGAGUAUGAGAAAACAGGAGGAUGUAGCACUUCCCUACUGAGUAGAUAAGGUUGAUUUGGGGUUAGUCUCCAUAGCUUUGUGUUUUCAUAUGCUUUUGUUUUCAUUAUAAAAUAUUUCUUGUUUAAUUGAAUUGACUGAAGGGAAGGAAAGGCAAGGGGAGGGGAGAGGAGGGAAAAGGGGAAGAGAAAGGGAAAAGGAAAAAAGAAUGAAACCAGGCUGUUACAGUCUGUGGAAACUUAGGGAAUAAGGUGGUUAUGUCUUGACCUACAGAUAUAGGGCCUAAAAUUGCAGAGACAGAAAAAAUAUGAUCUUUAAAAGGAAAGGCUUCCUAGCUCUCUCAUGACUUAUUCUGUUAUCAUCAUUGAAGUUAACAAUGGAUUCCUUUUUUUUUUUUUUUUAAACUUUGAUGUUACGUAAAUAAAACACACCCACAUCCAACAAAAAUAUUAAUUUGGAUGUAGGUAUGCCACAGGUGUGUCUAGAGUUUGCUGUGCUUUUGUUAUAAGCCUGACAGACACAGUAAUUAGGCCUUUCUGAGGUUAAAAAAAAAAAACUGGAUACCUCUGAGUUGAAAGCAUUUGAAAAAAUGGCAGCCAGUAGAUGACUGCUGGUGACAGAUUUUGUCCUAUGUAAUGCUACUCGGAGAACCCAGGCUGAACAGAGGAGGAAGCACUGUGCUGCAAACUUGGUUUGGUGGUGGUUGAAACAUGGCUGAUGAAUCUUUGUGUAAAUCUCCUGUUCAUGAUCUCUUAUAAUGGCAAUAUAUUAUGGCUCUCACUUACAGUUCCCACAUGCAUGCACAAGGAUACAUACAUACCAUUUCAGCUGAACUGAAUUGUAAGUGAAAUCAUCUGCAGCGGUGCACUGCUUUUCUUGUUACUCCUUUGAAACUCAAACCUGCAGUUGUUUGUAACUCACUGGUGAGACUACAAGUUCAUUGUCUCUCCAAAGACUGGUAAGGUUGUGUCCCUUUCCCUCUAGCUUUGCCAUAACUCCAUCCGUGUGAGCUUUAUAUACCCAUUAUUUUUGUGGGGGAGCAGAAAUUUUGGUGCAUAUCAGUGCCUUAUUUGCUCAACUACAGUCAUUACCUCUUAUUUGCAGUGAGUAUUUUCUGUUAACACCCAGUGAAUAGCACACUUCCCUUGCAAUUGGACUUGGAUUUCUUGGCAUUACACUUGUUAUUCCUAAUAUUUUUGAGGUACUGGAGAGACACUUGCAAAUAUCAGAUAAAUAAAUAGCCUCCCAUGGUGUCUCUGUUUCUAGUGUCAGCUCGUAUUUACUAUGUUAGCUGAACAUGACAACAACAUGGAAGAUAUGAAUACUAAGAGCUGUCUUCCAAAAUAUUUUCCCCUGUUUUAUGAGAAUAAUCUCAUUUCUUUAGAAGAAACAAGUAAAUGGCACACUGAGGGGACCAAGCAGGCAGGUGAUAUUUGAUUUCACAAAGCAGAUUCUCAUGUUAUGAUGCAUUUGCAAGGAGCAGGAUGGGAAAAUGAUGCUGUGCAGAACAACUUGCUUGCGUGUAUUCAAACAGAGUAGAUCAUCUGAAAUCUAAACCAAGUGAAAGCAGAGACUGGUGGACUGCUGGAGAGCUGUGCUAACCGGGGCAUGACACCUGCUUGUCUAGUUCUCCAGAGGGAUUUUUCAAAGUUUCAAAUGUUGCCAGCAGUCGGUUGCUUCCUUUGCUCAAUCAUAUUUACACUGUUUUCAUUUCACUGGAGUUUGUAAGGAAAGGUAAUAUCCUUUAUUCAAACCACUUCCUCCCUUGGUUUUUUGAUAGCCUUAGGCAGUCCUGGCUCCCUCAUAUUCUGUGAUUCUGUGAUAUUGUUGUUGACUCUAAUGGUAGUUCAGAGCAUGUAAAAUAAUCAGAAGCCAGACAGGAUUUUGGAGCAAUAGUGUUCCAUAAUUUAAGAUUUCUAUAUGGAUUGUUCAUUUCUAAUACAUAGAAAGUUGGAAGAAAUCUCAGGCAGUGAAUUUUUGGCUGUGCUCUAGUGCUGCAUAAUGAUGGAGACCAAUAAAUUCAGUUAUACUCUAGGUUUGUUGCAAUUGCUGGCUUGCAACACUGCAAAUCACAUCGGAAGGGAACAAGAGAGGAGGAAAAAAAAGAACAGUUUUCUCAGGGAGAAAAAUCACUUAUACUAAGUAUAUUGUCGUGUUUUGUUUCACCCUUAAUAAGUCAGCUUAAAGAUCCCUUGUUUGUUUAUGAUGCAUACCAGUGUUCACUGAUAUUUAUUUUAAUACCUUGUAUUACCAAACCUUCUUCUGUGCCUUGAACUUCAUGCUGUAGGCUGAAAAGUGGACUUAUGCAGCCAGAACACUGAACAUGUGCCUUCUGAAAAAUGUGUGUAUUUUAAGACGGUAUCCCUGCAUACUUUGACGAACUAAGCUUUGGGAGAAAACAGGAUCAUCUGGCACUAUUACAUGAAGAACUGGCAUGUUACUGAAGAGAAGUCAUUCCAUAAUGUGAUUGUUUUGUGGUUGUUUUUUUUUAAACUAUUUUGGUGUCUAUGGUUGCUUAGAUGAAUGAAACAAACUUUGGUGAAACAAACUGAACAUAGUUCAGUAAGAAAUGUCCCUGUGGAACAUAGACUUCCCACAAAAGCAUUUUAUUGUUUAAUUCACAGGGUGAAAGGAUAUGUUUGCUUUCAAAUAUAUUUGUCAUUUGUAAAGGUAUGGUUUGGGACAUAGAACUUGUUCUUUUGGUGAAAAGUGUGUUUAAUCUUUCACACAUUCAUUGUGUUUUAAGCCCCAAGGUCAGAAUUCAGAACUUGACAAUUCCUAUAAGAAUGAGAAACCGAUGAUAGAAGUGAAAUGUACUUUUGGGGCAGUUUUGCAGCCAUGUGCUUUAUUUUACAGACCAAGUAUGCAAUUCUGCUUCAACAAAUGCAGACAAAAGUCAUCGGAGCUUUUCUUUCUUCCCUUCUCCCCCCUUUCUUUCCCUUUUUUGAAUUUUUUCCUUUCUUUCUUCUUUUCCAGAAAUACUCCAAAUGAUGAUACCUGCAAGUAGCAUUCAAAAAAAGCUUCAUCACCCCAGUAUCAGUACACAACAUUCCUCUCUGCUCUCAAACCCCCUUUACUUGUAUUUUCCCAGAUUAUCUUUCUCUAUUGGUCUACAAUUAGAAAUAACAACAUCAUCAAAUAAACCACCACCAACAACAAAACCCCUCUGUUCAUUUAGUAGAUUCAGUUAUACACAGUCCCCGAGCAUCUGCACAGGCCUCAACAUCUUGGACUGUCACUCGUAUUGUGUGCUAAUGCUUUAAACACCUAGUUGCCCUUGUUUCUGAGCCAUAAAAACUUAAUGUAUGUGCCAGAUUCCAUGAAGCCUGUGAUUGUUUCUUGAAUCUAGAUGAUGCCCACACCUUCCUUACACCCGUUAGACUAUGCACCAUAUCCAUGUACACACAUACCUAUUCUUUAGAAAAGAUGGAGUGGCUUUUUGUCACUCCUUAAUCCUUUGUCAAAGGGUAGAAAAUACAGUGUUUUUCUUUGUGAGCUGGAUGGACAUCAGAGACUCUUCUCUUUCUUUGGGUCCCACAGCCUUGCUUUGAAAUAUUUUUAAAAAGAUGAAAAGGGUGUAGUUGUAGCUUUAAAACAAUGAACUUUGCACAUUACUGAAAUAAAUGGGUCUCGUUUUUAUUCUGGGGCCCAGGUUGAGAUAAUGCACAGAAGUUUAAAAAAAAAAAACAAAAACAAAAAUCUAUAUGUCUUCUAAUUUAUUGUCUCCUGACUUUUUUUUUCCUCCCUUUAAUUUAUUUUUGGAGUCUGAGAAGAAAAGCAUGCCAAAAAGGCCCAGUGUACUGAUGUGUGAAACUGAAGGAGUUGAUGAUUCUUAUGAUCCAGACACCAUGCCCUUUGAUAGGGUUAAUGUAAAAAGAAACAUACUGGAAAAAACACACUUAAAUAUGAAAAAUUCCUUAAAUUCAGGGUGUGUUCAUACACAGUGAAAUUUUUACAGUGUGGAAAGCAUUAAACCUGAUCCAGAAAAAACGUUAGGUGCCCCAACCAUUGAGAUGUGAAUCUCUUUAAUCCACGCAAGCAUUAGAAAAAUCUGAAACAUGUGAAAGUUCAAAAGCUGCAAAGCCAUUACAUGACUCCUUAUUCAUUUUUCAAAUAUUGUGACUUUCUAUUGAACUGUAAAAAGGCUGCUUCUUGUAUUUUUUUCCCUUUUCAUAAGCAAUAUAUCAGUCACUCACUCAUGUGUUAUUCCACAUUGUGAAGCUGAAAGGGAGUUUCGUUUGGUUGUGCCUACUUGGGUAUAAAUCUUUGAUUUAUUUCAAACGGUUUAUGUAGCAUUUCAGAAGUUGGUCACUUGCACCUUUUCAGCAUUUGCUGUUGGAAAAGGGGGAAAGGCAAGAAUUAGGAGAAUGUUGACGUUGUUUUUUAUUUAAGAUCUCUUAGGCUGUUUUUUUUUCUAGAUUUUUUUAGCCUGUUUGCUCAAGUGCAGUACUUGAGAUAGAUAGAGUUGCUGAGAGGCAAGCGAGAGAUUGCUGCUACAGUGCAGUGUCUAAAAAAUUGCUCUUUAUGUAGGGCAACAACCUUAAGGGAGAGCAGAAGGUUUCACGUUGGUUUGUCACCUGAAAAUAGGGCUUAUUUUUACCAGUGAAACUCCUGUGAGAAGAUCAUGUAAUGACACAGAGCCAUUGGAGCUGUUGUCUUUUUUUAAAUGAUAGCAACUGCAGAAUCUGGUGGAGACUUCUCAAGUCUCUACCCCACUCCUCCCCCCAUAAAUAAAUAAAUAAAUAAAUAAAUCUUAAAAAGCCAGAGAGGCCUGUUUUCUACAUGAAAAUAGCGGUCAUCCUGAAUUUCACUGACUUGCCAGAAGAUCUAUCAAAGAGUGGAGGUAGCUAAUUUCUGGGGCUCAUGAGAAGACUGCACUCUAAAGUGAUGGACAUCAUUGAGUCUAUAACCUAAGGAAAACAAAUGACUCAAACCUCUGCUGGGGCCCAAAGAGCUUAAAGGUAAAUAUGAGAUAAGGACUAGCUGUAGUCAUGCUAUCCUCUGCUGCCAAGGCAUUGCAGCAAAACAAAGGCUUAUUGAUCAAAAAAGGUCAUGGAAAAGAGGACAGGGCUUAAAGAAGAUUUUUUGUUUUUGCUUUAUUUAUUUAUUUAUUUAUUUAUUUACUUAUUUAUUUAUUAUGAAUACAAAAACAUUAACCCAAAGAUGGAGUUCUGUAUGGCAGGUAUUUCUCACAUACAUUCUUUUAUUAGUCUGCACAAAUAAAAUGACUAUCUAUAAUUCUCUUGUUUCAUAGAAUGACUUCUAGCCAUAGUCUCCAGAGUCUUGAAACAGCAGAUGUGUCCCUCUGUUUAAAAUGGAGAAUGUGACAACAGAAAAUGAAGUGCUUGGGCCUUCCACUUGAUGCUGUUGUGCUCCUCAUGUCUAGUAGGGAUGUGUAAGCCUGCUCACAUGUUGUGGUGGGCAGUGGCUACUGACCUUUUACUGUGGCAUAUAAACCUUCUCAAGGGUUUGAAACAAAUACAUGAUGUUGACUUCUUUUCCUUGGUGAAGAAGGCUUUUUGCUUAAAUGUCUGGUGAAGGUUGUAUGGGAAAGGGAGCAAUACUUGCUUUCCAGGAUCCACAAGCUGUCAACCUUUCAUAUCAUGAAAAAUAGAAAUAAAGGACCAAGUUAUAUUGCGAGACUGCUGGAAAAAAGAUUGUUAAACACAGAGAUCCUAAUGUCAUCUACUGACAACAGUCUGCUAAAUGAUGUUUAUGUUUUAAGGGCAAGCGGAAAAAGAACAUUCCCUUUGAAUGACAACUGCCCAUCUCAUAAUGUCAUAUUGCCAUUAUCUAUGAAUAAAGAAAAAGGCCUAUUAUGUUAUGUCUAACUAGAAAGAAACUUAACAAAGAAACACACUGUGUUGUUAAGGAGAGGAAGGAGAGCCUUGUGGUUAGGGCACAGGAGAUGUUGAUUCAAAUUUCUGGCUCUGCGAGAGCCUUCCUCUAUGACCUUGAGUGACUCAUGUACUGCCUCACUCUAAAAUGGCCACAGUACCCAGAGCAAGAGUGAUGUGGGUGCUGAGAUGGUAAAAAGACCGUCUGAAAAGCUGGCAUAAAAAUACGAGCUACAUGGCUCCUUUUUAUUUCUUUUCUUUCUCUCUGUCUCCCUUUCCCACCUUCCUCCUCCCCCCCUCCCCCCCCUCCCGCUUUUUUUUUUAAUUGUUGGGGUAAUGUGAAAUAUUAAUAAUUUAAUAUUAAUAAAAAUAAUAAACCCAGUAAUAUUUAAACUAGAUCUGUUUCUUACAGAAUGAGAAGACAGUUUGGGCCACAGUCAGAAUUUGAUCAAGACUUGGAAAUUAUGAGGUUCAGUCGUGUUGGUUAAACACAUCUCUACCCAGAAUAAGAUUACAGUCUGUGAUGAAGAAUGUUUUCAAUUAUACUCUGUUAGAAAAUAAUGUGAAAUUUAUCUUAAGUUGUCACGGUGCUUCAAAGGCAUGGGCUUUUCUCUUUCUAAGCCCUUAAACAAAUGCAGGAUGUGUUGAGGCAAAACUGUUUCCAAUUAAGUUGAUGCAUAAUGCUCUUUAAUGUUUCAGGACUAAAAGUUUUACUUAAAGACAAAUCCUUUAGCCUGAGUUCAGAAGGAUAAUUCAGAUAAAAUUUCCUGGAAAGCAGUCAUUUGCCUGAACUUGUGUGGCUGCAUGAUGUCGGGAGCUCACUUAGCACAGUGUGACACAUAGCUAUGAGUCUCAUCAGAACCAUGUUGAGAAAUGUAGGGAUCCAACUCUUACAUCUCUGCACUUUUAUUCUGUAUUGAAGAACCAACUUUAGCUCACUUGUUGAGUAAGGUUCGCUUAAAGUAGAUAGAGCAUUAAGAGAAAUAAAAGUGAUUCUAGGAAAUGCCUGUGCUGCUUGUAUUCAGUAUGAAUUUUUUACUACCUUAAGUGUGUUUUGUUCAGAAGAAUGAGUUUCUGAUGUUCCAAGGGUUGUUUUUUUUCUGCCCAGCUGAAGCAUCCCUGUUCAUCACUCAUCAUUCUGUGGAGUGUUAGCCUGAAAACUUAUGUCAAGCUGAAGAUUAACAAGGGAUUAAGAAACAUUCAGCUCCAACUCUAAGGCAGGGAUGACAAGUUUGAUCUAACAUAGCAAACAUAGAAUGGAUUCAGCAGCAAGACAACUUGGAUGGACUUCAUUUGGGUUCACUGAAUACUGAACAGCAACACUAUAAGGGGUUGGACUUCUGCUCCAAAAUUUCUGUUUUCCCUCUAGGCUUGCUGGGACAAAAAUAUGCUGCUCUUUGCAAGAAUUAGGAUGAAUCUCGGUGUAUAGCGCUUUUCUUUACAUGUUCUGUUUUUCUGUUGUAAAAAUCUUUUAAAAUACUGAAUGUAUAUUUUUAUUGUAUGAGGUCAUUUCUACAAUAGGUUCAUACUUUGAACUACCGGUUAGAAAACUUCUUAAAUAACUAUUAAUAAUGAAUCAGACAGAUUUAGAGUCAAGGGCCAAAUUCUUUUAUUUUGAACUUUGACUUUAUUGAUUAAAAAUCAUUUCAAUUUAAAAGAUCCCUGCAGGGAUCUUCACUUGUGGACUGUUUCUCAAGGCUUGAUUUGCAUAUCACUGAGACCUGUUUUCACUUGUUUUUCCCUCAGAUGAUAUCCUUGCAAUAUCUUUCUUCUCUACCUCCUGGCAAUUUUAUAGACUGCUCUUCUAUGGCAUGCUAAUAUCUUUGCCACAAGCCAAAAGAAUUUGCAUAAGACAGAAGAGGAUAAUCCUCGGUUAUAGUUUUGUUUUAUGAUCAAUAUGGUGAACAACCUCAGUUCUGAGCCUCAUACAGGUAAUAGAGCCAGCCAUGGUGAAGCAUGCAUGUAGUUUGCUCCAAAAGUAAUGCCUCCUGCUUGUUUCCAUGAAGACAACAACAUAUGUAAAUAAUGUAUAAGGCAAAGGUUUGCGGUUGAGUUAUUCCACAUGGAAAAAAUUCACCUGUUGACAUUCAUCAAUGCUUGCUGAAUGUUCAAGGAGACUAAGAAGUGAAUAUGAACACAGUGACAUGGUGGGUGGUGCAUUUCAACAGUAGUAACAGCAACAGUGGGUCACCAGUGCUGGUGCAGACUGUUAGGACCAUGGUGUGCAGUCUCUUGUUCAUCGUAGUAAAAAAGCAUAGCUCAUGGUGGUGAUUAUGUUGAAAAAUAGUGUUUUGUAGCCAAGAAUCUUCUCCAUCAUAUAAUGUUAUUGUGCUUUUCGUAUUCAUUGUAGUUUCCAUGCAAAUAAUUAGGAGGAAUUACUUUCAGAGCAAGUAGUAUACAUAAAGCAUCCCAUUUAAUUCAGUAGGAAUAUUGACAUAGGUAAGGAACGUAGGGCGAAGCUUAUGAUUCCUGUAGAAUUCUUCUUUAGCCAAACCAAAAUAUUAUUCUGUGUUUGUAUCAUGUUCAAUUAAAGUCUAGAAAUUAUUGUUUGUCUUUGAGAUGCCAUUCACAUGACUAUCUUUUCAUAACUGAUUUAUGAUCAUUUAUACUAUAUUCUCUCAGAACUGUGUUAUGCGAAAAGUAAUAUUUAGAUAGCCAAAUAUCUGACACAAAAAAAGUAUAUGACAAUCAAACACACAUGACUGAAAGUCCAAGAAAACACUUCUCUCAAGUUGCUCAUAUCUUUCUCUCUCCCUGUUUAUGUUGCUUUCCUUUCAGUAAAUACAACUGCAGAUCUUUGGCCUGUGCCACAUGUCAAAUAAGCAUAAGAACCUUCCCCUUGGAAUUCAGUUUUCAAAUUUCAGUGGAGCAGAUAUGUAAAUUUCAACACUUUCCCUAUGUAAUAUACACAUUUGAUCUGCCAGUAUGUGCAAGGGGUGAGUUGUACAUGCAAGAAACCAUUUAUGGUGAUGAAGAAAAUGAUAUAUGGAAAAGAAAAUACAUUUAAAGCAUGCACUGUGGCACGUACUGACUUUACCAGAGUAAUUGAAGGAAUUAAUAUUGAAUACCUGAUCGUAGGAGACAAAAAUACUGACGUCACUGAAAAAAAAAAUAAAAAAUGCAGAGAACAAAGGAUUUCCACAUUUUUUUCCCCUACUAAAUUUUGGCAGAUUCUGAUCAUCUUUUUCUGUGUGCUGUUUUUCUCAUACCCAAUGUGAUGACCGAAAACCUUGAAUGCAGAUUUCGUAUUGUUUUGCAGUUGCUGGGGAAAUUGUAAGAAGCUGGAGUUUAGAUUUGAAAGUAUGUAACUACUAAAUUUCCAUCUGAAUUAACAUAUAAUACCUUUUUUAAUUCUGUAUUUAUCACAGGAAAUAGUUUUUGCUUGAAGUAUAUACUUCUGGGAGUAUGUUAAUUGUCCUGUGCCAUAAUAUUGCUUCUGAAAGAAAUACGUCUUUAAAUAUUAGUGUUCAGUAGGACUGUUCUUAAUCUCUGCUAUUAUAAUAAAUACUGAAUGUCAGACUUUUUCAAAGAUCCAAAUUGGAAAUGUGCUUUUUAUCUCACUAAAAUGAGUGGAAGCUCCACAUGUCAUGUGCAUUUCAAAGUAAAGAACUGUUAUCCCAAAUAUGCAUUGCAAGGAUAAUUGGAAAGGAUUAAUUUACUUCAUGGGGAUUUGACGAAGAUGAAUGAUCUGUUGUGCUCCCAGGAAAUUGGGAAUUUGGAAUUCUUUACUUUCAGUAGUUGAGAAUUAUCUGUGUAGUUUCUAUGCUUGAGUAAUUUUAAGUGCAUCUGUUUUUGUAGUAAUACCAAACAAAAACUCAGAUUUUUCCUUUCUGAGGCUUAUUCACAUUACUACAGGUUUUUAAUAUGAAAAUUUGAAUAUUGAAAAUAUGUUUUCCCUUUGGUUUUAAAAUUUAUACAAUAUUAAUUCUUGCUAGUUUUAAAACAAAAUCAUGUAUGCAUUUAUGUUUUUAUAUGCAUAAGCACACCAAAGUUUAGGGCUUGAUGAAAGCUAGUCUCAGUAGAAUCAGUCUUUGUUAUAGUUGUUUUGGAUGUGUGCUGACUGAGGCAGAGAAAUACAAAUAGAGGAUUUUGUUUUUCAGCCCUAGUAGUUAAUCAAGUUCCUGUAACAGUUAUCUAACCCCAUGGUUUUCCCUACUUGCUUUGUCCUUGUUACUUCUACCCUUCUUAAGCAAGGCAAGUUUCUGCCUCAACAUUCUACCUUUGACCUAUCUGACCUUGACAAUUUCCUUUCUGCUGUACAUCAGGUCAGUAAUAACACUGAGCAAGCAAUCUGCUUUCUAGCAUAUUGCCAGCUGUACAGGAGCUGUUAUGAACUCCAUAGAAAAGCUAAGAUGUGGUGUAAUACUUACAUUCACCUGCAGUCAGCAAUUUUAUGGUGCUAUCUUGGAAAAGCAGAGGGGAUUGAGUGGAUGUGCCGUGAAAGAAUUGAUGGAAUGUCCACUUUAAAGCUGUCUUAAGAAGGAAGGAGCAUUCUGCAGAAAUCCAGUCCAGCAUAUGUGCUAACACAACAGCAUUUUGGUUUGCUCUACCUCCUAUGGGAAAGACUGCAGAGUUGUUACAGUUAAGCAGGCUGCUGUAGGCAUCUCUGGGCUAGUCUCCCCUCAACAAAGAGAUUGUCUAGAAUCAAGACCUCCAGAAGUUGUAUUUAUACAUAUAUAUACAUAUACAUAUACAUAUAUACAUACACACACACAUACAUAUACAUAUAUAUACAAGCGAUACCAAUUUUAUUAGUCAGUGAAAAAAACCACCAACAACCAACCUCAGCUAAUAAUGGCAGGUACUUAAGAGUGGCUAUAGAACUAUAAAUUAGCAUUAGGGAUACUUAAAGAUAGUUUUUUCAUCCACGAAACAUGAUAAACCAGUAGGCAAUUUAUGGUGAUAUAAAUAAUGAUAAUAUAAUCAGUGGGAAUAGACAUUUGAGACAUUUGAGACAAGAGCCAUGAUGCUUAAUGCUAUCAUCUAUAAUACAUUUGCUCUAUGUUUAGUAGUGCAGAUUAUAAUUGUUUUUAAAGAAUAUCUACUGUAGAUCUCCAUUUUGAAUGAGAAUGACAAAAAUAAUUAUCUUUUUACUCCUUUGAGCACUGGAGAAUCAGCCAUUAGUAUUGAGGAUGUACGAGUAACUAUGCAGAAAUAUUUUGUCAAUGCAAAGACUAUGUUCACUCACAAAAGUGGUUUCACAGAGGAUAAGAAAUGGCUCAGACCCCCGAGUCAGCAGCCAAAGUGCUUGUCAGAUACCCAGCGUUAGAGCACCAUCAGCAAAUCUGGCUAUUUGUUCAUUGGGCAGCUGACUACUACCUGCUAUUCACAGCUCAGGUUCCAUGUUACUUUGCUCCUGUGUCAGCUGCCAGUCUUCUCCAAGUGAUUCUACAAGAAAUUCCAUUUCUGCAUCUUGAAAGUAUCCAUGUUUGUUGAUACUGCGCAUGACUAAAAUGGUAUUUUCAUAUUUCAGUAGUUGAAGCCCUUUAAAGCAGAGGGCUGCAAGUGUGAAAAAGAGAUAUGUUGUUCCCUAAUGGCUUAUUACCAUCCCAUUUGCAAUUCAUAUCAGUUAUAAAUUGACUGAAAUUUUUAAACACAUAGCAGGCAGUUUAAACUAAUGAUUGUCUGGAGGUUCACAUCUGACAUGAACUAAGCUUCUGUUCAAAACAAAUUGCAAAUAAUUCCUCCCUUAGAGUCAAAAUGUCACUUUUUACACAGUGCAUUGUUGCCAGAUUGUGUCAGCUCCAUUAAAAUAAAACCAAAUAAAGAAAUAAAUAAAACCAUCUAGCUAUCCACUGAGUGUUCUGAAUAUAGGGCGACCCUGUUAUUAUCCCUUAUUUACAGAAACAGGGCUUUACAUUUACAGGGCUCUGCACAGACUGCAGAGAGUUCAUUUCUCCCUCAAAAGCCCCAGUUGUGGUGAAAGCCACGGGGGCCAGCAGAAGGCCUGGGCUGCCUAGCAAUCCCCAGCAGGCUGCCCGCUGCCCUCUAAGCUGGGAGUACCUGAGUUCUUGCUUCAUUCUUAAAUAUGCCUGCUCAAAUGCUGUAUGCUCAAAAGCUGUGUAUGGGUGGCUGCAGUGUGCUGAAGGGACUUCGAGCACUGUGUGGAUGAGGCACAACAGUCUCCCAGCCACAGACGUGGUAAAACAAGGUUAAUCCUUCGUUGUAUAUAGGCAACCGCUUGAAGAAACAAUUCAGAAUUUGGGUUCAAUUCCACCAGGAUUUUGAAGUCCACACCUUUCUUGAUGAUAGCAGGGGAAGCUAUUCAAAAGUACCCUAUGGGGUCACCAGGAAAUGUUUAAUGCGUGAUUGAAAUUGGAUUUCCCUUCAAAGAAUAAGCCAUCUGAGGGGGACUCACUGGAGAAAUCUUGAUGACUUGCAGCUGCUGAUUACUAAUUUUGAAUAGGGAAGUAUUUUGCUAAUUUCUAAAGGGAAUAAGCUUAUGUAGAGGGGAAAAAAAAAAAUAGGUCAGUUCCUUUUGAUCUAAUCCUUAUGUAUUUUUGCUUUCUAGGUGUUGGCCACAGGGAGUUGGUUUGGGACAGUCUUUUUUUUAUUUUUUCAUGCAGUGUUACUGGGUCAGCUAUCCUGGUUAGAUGUUACUUGAAAGUCUGUGUUACUUGACUGGUUGUCUCAGGCUCAGUAAAAAUAAGUGUUUUUUUUGUUUUUUUGCUUUCCCCCCCCCCCCC
Molecule: long non-coding RNA, 21104 nt
Organism: Coturnix japonica (Japanese quail)
Lineage: Eukaryota; Metazoa; Chordata; Aves; Galliformes; Phasianidae
Source: RefSeq, a predicted model, not a curated record